This 1754-nucleotide long non-coding RNA is filed under the name Olea europaea (common olive). RNAcentral describes it as "long non-coding RNA (OEUR_LNC013301)". Lineage: Eukaryota; Viridiplantae; Streptophyta; Magnoliopsida; Lamiales; Oleaceae. The record is from RNAcentral.
CAAAACAUGUACAUGAAACAAUUAAUUUUUACCCCAUAUUCAUUUUAUGGAUCAUAUUUUUGUUUUCUUGUAUGAUUAUUUAGGUAAUGAAGUAGUAGAAUCUAAUGCCACGAAACAUAUAAUGUCUGAAUAAAUACUCUGUAAUUUAUUCUAUGAAAUGAUGGGACUCGAAGAUGCCAAAUGCUAGACUAAAUUAAAUAGAAAAAAAUCAUUUGAAAAUAAAUCAUGUGACUCUACUGUUAGUACACAAGUUAUUAGGGUUUUAUUGUAAAUUUUAGGAAGGGUAUGGCAAUACUGUAAUAUUUAAAUCCUUUCCACAUUAUAGUUUACACUUUUUGUCCAAUAUUCUCCUUGAUUUUUUAUUUUAUUUUUUUCAUUUUUUAUUGCUUUCAAAACUUGAAGUGAUCUAUACUUAUCGUUAGGCUACCUUUCCAAUAACACAUCAUCAAAUGUGCGUUUGAAUAAUUAUUUUAACAUGCUUGCGAUACGUUGCAAGCCAUAUUUUUAUUAUUUGUGAAUAAAACAUACUAUUUGUUAUUUUCUUAGUUUUUAUGGGGAAUAUGUAACGGUUAAUUUUUUAUUUUAAAAAAUAAUUAAAAUAGCAUCUACACAUACUGUAUUACACUCUAUAUGCCUUGCGUGUUUUGCCAUUUUGUACUAUUUUUUGGACGCAAACAUAAUUAUCAUUUGUUAGUGCUUGUGAAACAAUAAUUCGUAUAAUUUGUAAAAAAGUUGUCUACGCGCUAUAUAUAUUCUCUCUCUCUGUGUGUAUAUAAUUGAUAGUUCUAACUCUAAAUAUAUGAUUAUCAUGAUUGGUAUGAUAUGUAAAUGAAGUGAUCAAAUUUUUUUGUUGACGUUGAUUAAAAUAUUACUUUUGAGUAAGUUUCACUUAAGAACAAAGAAUUGCCUUUGUGGUCAUUAGAAUACAAUUUUUUUUGUAGAAUCUAAUGAAUUAUUGCAUUAAUUAAGACUAAUAAAUAGAGUAAAUAAAUUAUAGAACUUUUUUUUGAAAUUCUAUAUCAUUUGGUUUUACAAUUUACAUAUUUAGUGAAUUGACAUUAACUUAAAAUAUUAGUCUAUUGGGCAAAGAAGAUGGAAUAUUACAAAAAAAAUAUUAUUAUUAGUCAUGAGAUCUAGCUUAUAUAAGUCUAUACCAAAAUAUUAUAGUUAUAUUAUUUCUCUUCUCGAUCUUAUCUUGCAAUUUUAGGUCAAUAAAAUUUAGGCGUGAUUUUUAAAACUAUGAACGGGCUACGAAAGGGGUUUGGAUUCUCAACAUUAUUUUAUUGAUAUCGCAAUUAAUGCUCUUAUUUCAUACAGACAAAUGUUAGACAUACUCUACAAACUAUUCAUUGAUACUUUUUUAUAUUUUUUGUUAGCAAAAAUUGUGUACUAGUUUCAUGCUUAGGAAAUUGCAAUAUGUAAACUGUAAUUUUUUACGAGAGCUUGCUUUUAUUUGUUAAUACUUAAGAAAUAAUGGUAUGUAUAAAAUAUUUGUUAAGUAAUAUAUUUGUUAAAGUAGAUACGUAGUGUAAUUACAUUACGUAUCCACGUGGUGCAUUUUAUAAUUUUUUUCUAAGGGUAAUACAUUUGAUCAUUUUAAGAACCAUAUGGACAAAUGAGUUUGGUAGCUUUAUAUGUUUUCUGCUGGGAGCUCAUCAAUGUGCACCGCUCAUGUGUCGCACCUACAUUAUAAAAUUUUGUAAUUUCAAAAUGUUACAUAUUUUUCUUACACUUUGUUUCCUUUUAGAAAUUCU